CGGCUGCGGAGGCUGGCGCGGGCUGCUGCACCUUUAACGCUUUCUGGCGCUGACAGGCGGCGGCCCAGCUAAAGUUCACAGCGCCCGGGGAGGGCCCGCCUCCGCCUCCCCUCCCGCCCCCGCCUCCCCUCCCCCAGGCCGGCCCCGGCCCCCGGCCCCGGACAGGCCCGCCGCGCGGCCGCUUGAGCUGCGAGCUGAGGAGGCCCGUUGGCUGUUCCCGCAAAGAGUGGGGGGCGCAUUUUCUCUCCUGCCAGCCCGCUCCAUCCUGGUCGUUUAUUCCCGGCCUUCCCUCACCCCCCACCCCCACAGCCUGCUGGGAAACCAGACGACCCAGCGGCCACGGGACGAGUCACCCCAACUCAACCCCAGCAGGACGCUGGAGGGGCCUCCCUUGCCCACCUCUCUUCGCUAGCACUGGCCUCCCGCACCUGGGUCUGCAGUCCCUCCGCCAUCUCACAAGUGUGCAGCCGCUAGGCCUGGGGGAUCCGAAUGACUGGGGCUGGAUAGGAAUGCCUUCGUGUUUCCCAAGACCCCCGGGCCUGCUCCACAAAGUUUGAAGGGAGCUCAGAGAUGCCCGGGAAGACGGGGGGCCCGAAUGGAAGCAGAAAAACACUUAUGGCCGCUGGGAAGUUGGGAGAGCCAGGCUGGGGCUCCGGCAGGCCCAGGGAAAGUUCCCUUUCUAGGCUCUUUAUUAAAAAAUUUAAAAGGAGGAGUUGAGGCGCCUUGAAUUUUCCUUCGCGAGUUUGGAGACCAGCCGAUUUUUCAUGAAGCAAGCAAGGGCCGCGGUCCCGGAUCCUGCAACAUAUACCUCAUUUUCUCCAGGCCUCUCCACUUGCCCGAGCUCUCAGCCACCAGGAGACAGACGGAAGGGGCUUCUGGGCUGUGUUGGGAGCGGGCAUUGUCCCCUACCCACUCCUGCACAGUUUCCCAAAGUCCAGCGACCUCCGACCCUCCUUGGGGAAAAAAAUACCAGUACCCAGACACCUCUGCACCCUGUUAUAUGACUGGGCUUGCUUCAGGAAUAUCUUACAAAGAAGAAGAAGGAGGAGGAACGGCUUGGAGUCAUGUUUACAUCUAGUUCUACUGAUCCGUUCACAUCUGGAGAGUUUAUUUAUAACUCCCUCUAUAACUCUCUGUUUGGAGGCACUGGUGGCUCUACUGACAGACUGAUGUCUAGGAAAUAUUGCUCUAUGUCUAAUGGUACCUAAAUGUGCUGUGGUUGUAUUUACAGAUUUACGUUUGAGGGAAAUAUAAUUAUUUCCAUUGUAUUUGUGCAUAUACAGUAGUUAUAGGAGCAGAUUUAUAUAUGGGAAAAUAUGCGACUCCCUUACAGCCAUCCGGCUUUAUGUACAUUUGAUAUCCUGACAGAUUUAUAUCUCUGAAGAGCUAUAUAGAUUAAAACGUAUAUUGUUAGAAUUAUGUAUCAGGAGAUAUAUACUUAUUGAUUGCGAAAUAGAGUAGUUAGAGCAUUCACUUAGAGCCAUAUAUGGCUAUGGAGAUAUUUCUAUAUUAUUAUCACUAUAUAUAGGCAUAUCUAUUUAUAACUGCAUAGUUAUAAAAAUAGACAUAA
This 1570-nucleotide long non-coding RNA is filed under the name Homo sapiens (human). RNAcentral's name for it is "HSALNT0149269". Lineage: Eukaryota; Metazoa; Chordata; Mammalia; Primates; Hominidae. The record is from RNAcentral.